AUGGCGGUAGUCGGUGGGGAUGCCGACGUCGUCGAAGAGGAAGAAGAAGGUGUGGAGGCUCUCGGGGUGGUGGGAGAGGAAGUCGAAGACGCGCCAGUACUCCUGCACGUGGGACUUGGGGUUGGGCUUGAAGGCGUGGAUGACGUCGGGGAACUUGAUGCCGUCGCGGAUGAAGAAGACGGGGAAGUUGUUGCCGAGCAGGUCCCAGUUGCCCUCGCGCGUGUAGAACUUGACGGCGAACCCGCGCGGGUCGCGGAUCGUCUCGGGCGAGCCGCGCUCGUGGAUGACGGUGGAGAAGCGGACGAUGACGGGCGUGCGCGCCCCCGGCGCGCGGAGGAAGUCGGCGCAGGUGAGGCCGGUGACGUCGUGGGUGCACUCGAAGAAGCCCUUGGCGGAGGCGCCCCGGGCGUGCACCACCCGCUCCGGGAUGCGCUCGCGCGCGAAGUGGGCGAUCUUCUCCAGCAGGUGGUAGUCCUCCAGCAGGAUGGGGCCGCGGGGGCCGACGGUAAGCGCCUCGUUGUCGUUCCACACGGGCUGGCCGGCGUUCGUCGUCGUCGUCUUGGUGUCGAAGCUGCUCGACGGCCGGAACUGCACGCCCUUGCAGGGAUCCAUCCUUCCUUGAGUGAAGUAGCUCAGCUAAGCUGGGGGGGAGUGUGGCGAGCUCACUCACUCUCACUGCACUGA
This 684-nucleotide ribosomal RNA is filed under the name Triticum aestivum (bread wheat). RNAcentral describes it as "partial small subunit ribosomal RNA". Lineage: Eukaryota; Viridiplantae; Streptophyta; Magnoliopsida; Poales; Poaceae. The record is from RNAcentral.